GACCCAUAUGAUCACUGAAGUUAAGAAAUGUUGAACCUGGUUGGCACUGCGAUGGGUGACCACUUGGGAAUACGAGGUGCU
Molecule: non-coding RNA, 81 nt
Organism: Acanthosepion pharaonis
Lineage: Eukaryota; Metazoa; Mollusca; Cephalopoda; Sepiida; Sepiidae
Source: the annotation of a GenBank genome assembly